Plectropomus leopardus (leopard coralgrouper) is the source of this 103-nucleotide non-coding RNA. The record is from RefSeq and is a predicted model, not a curated record. NCBI's taxonomy places the organism in Eukaryota, Metazoa, Chordata, Actinopteri, Perciformes, Serranidae.
GAGUAAAAGUCCAGAGUUUGCAUGACCCAUGCACCUCCCCUCCUACCCGCCUAAUCUAGACUUCCUUGCUUUUCAUACUACAGUAGUUACCUGGAGUGUUAGU